CCUACGGGAGGCAGCAGUAAGGAAUAUUGGUCAAUGGAGGCAACUCUGAACCAGCCAUGCCGCGUGCAGGAAGACAGCCCUAUGGGUCGUAAACUGCUUUUAUACGGGAAUAAACUUUGAUUCGUGAAUCAAGCUGAAUGUACCGUAAGAAUAAGGAUCGGCUAACUCCGUGCCAGCAGCCGCGGUAAUACGGAGGAUCCAAGCGUUAUCCGGAUUUAUUGGGUUUAAAGGGAGCGUAGGCGGCCUAUUAAGUCAGGGGUGAAAGACGGUGGCUCAACCAUCGCAGUGCCUUUGAUACUGAUGGGCUUGAAUAUAGUUGAGGUAGGCGGAAUGUGACAAGUAGCGGUGAAAUGCAUAGAUAUGUCACAGAACACCGAUUGCGAAGGCAGCUUACUAAGCUAUGAUUGACGCUGAGGCUCGAAAGCGUGGGGAUCAAACAGGAUUAGAUACCCUGGUAGUCCACGCCCUAAACGAUGAUAACUCGAUGUUGGCGAUAUACAGUCAGCGUCCAAGCGAAAGCGUUAAGUUAUCACCUGGGAGUAGCCCGCAGGUGAAACGUCAAAGGAAUUGAGG
RNAcentral lists this ribosomal RNA (573 nucleotides) under uncultured bacterium. RNAcentral describes it as "bacterial SSU rRNA". It matches the Rfam family "Bacterial small subunit ribosomal RNA", at positions 338 to 915 of the family's 1533-position model. The record is from RNAcentral.